UACGUAGGGGGCAAGCGUUGUCCGGAAUUAUUGGGCGUAAAGGGCGCGUAGGCGGUCCGCUAAGUCUGAUGUGAAAGCCCGGGGCUCACCCCCGGAAGGGCAUUGGAAACUGGCGGACUCGAGUCCCGGAGAGGAAGGUGGAAUUCCUGGUGUAGCGGUGAAAUGCGUAGAUAUCAGGAGGAAUACCGGUGGCGAAGGCGGCCUUCUGGACGGUGACUGACGCUGAGACACGAAGGUCAGGGGAGCAAACGGG
RNAcentral lists this ribosomal RNA (253 nucleotides) under uncultured bacterium. Its description in RNAcentral is "partial 16S ribosomal RNA". It matches the Rfam family "Bacterial small subunit ribosomal RNA", at positions 524 to 776 of the family's 1533-position model. The record is from RNAcentral.